This 460-nucleotide ribosomal RNA is filed under the name uncultured bacterium. RNAcentral's name for it is "partial 16S ribosomal RNA". It matches the Rfam family "Bacterial small subunit ribosomal RNA", at positions 338 to 795 of the family's 1533-position model. The record is from RNAcentral.
CCUACGGUGGGCUGCAGUGAGGAAUAUUGGUCAAUGGACGAGAGUCUGAACCAGCCAAGUAGCGUGAAGGAUGACUGCCCUAGGGGUUGUAAACUUCGUUUAUAUGGGAGUAAAAUGUUCCACGUGUGGGAUUUUGUAUGUACCAUAUGAAUAAGGAACGGCUAACUCCGUGCCAGCAGCCGCGGUAAUCCGGAGGAACCGGGCGUUAUCCGGAUUUAUUGGGGUUAAAGGGAGCGUAGGUGGAUUGUUAAGUCAGUUGUGAAAGUUUGCGGCUCAACCGUAAAAUUGCAGUUGAAACUGGCAGUCUUGAGUACAGGAGAGGUGGGCGGAAUUCGUGGUGUAGCGGUGAAAUGCUUAGAUAUCACGAAGAACUCCGAUUGCGAAGGCAGUUCACUGGACUGCAACUGACACUGAGGCUCGAAAGUGUGGGUAGCAAACAGGAUUAGAUACCCUAGUAGUC